UUGGUCACAGUGUGGCGGCAGAAGUGAUUGACAGAGCAAGCAUCCAAUAGCUGACCAGCUGACGCCCACAGCUCUUUCGUGAUUGGACAGAUUAUUCUAAUAUAUAUUUGUGUCGUAACUUUCUUACUGUCUCUUUCACUAACCUCAGCUCUGGAAAGUUCUUGGAAGCACUGCAAAGAUGCCCAGGAAAGACGAGGCCACGUGGAGCCCCCAACUAUUUAACGUUAACUAACAUUCAUCCAACUUUUGGAUGACUAUCCAAAAUGCUUCAUUGUGGGCUCAAAGCAGAUUCAAACCAUUCGCCUGUGUCUGCGUGGAAAGGCUGUGGUGCUGAUGGGUAAAAACACCAUGAUGCGCAAAGCUAUUCGCGGCCACCUGGAGAACAAUGCUGCCCUGGAGAAGAAACGUGGGCUUUGUCUUCACCAAGGAGGAUCUGGCUGAAGUCCGGGACCUGCUGUUGUACAAUAAGGUUCCGUUGCUGGAGCAAUCGCUACUUGUCAUGUGACUACGCCAGCCCAGAGCACGGUCCUUUUCCGGCAGGUGUAUGACAAUGGCAGUGCUGAGUCAUUCGGUGCUUGACAUUACAGAGGCUUCUCUGCAUACAAAGUUCCUGGAGUUUCUAGCGGUUGUCUGGAGAUCGAUGCGGAUUACGCCUUCCACCUGGCAGACAAGGUAAAGGCCGUCCUGGCACACAUGACUAUUUAGCUGCUGCAUUAACUUUUGCAGCUGCUGAGAAUUAGUCUGAGGCAUCUGACCACAUGGUAUUCGACACCAAUACGAUAGCUAGGUUUGAACUGAACCAUGAAUCAAUAAAAUCUCUUAAAUACCCCA
Molecule: long non-coding RNA, 831 nt
Organism: Pungitius pungitius (ninespine stickleback)
Lineage: Eukaryota; Metazoa; Chordata; Actinopteri; Perciformes; Gasterosteidae
Exons: 7
Source: RefSeq, a predicted model, not a curated record